GAGCAGAGUUCUCAGGCUUGCCUGAGCUUCUGCUCUGAUAGCAGAAAGGCAUCUUAGUAAGUGCUGAGAAAUAUGGUGGGCAAGGAAUAUGGAUCCACAGAAACUCCGUUCACCCUUAGCAUGUGUGUAAGGCUUUGCCUGUGUGAAAAAUUAUACCAGUAUGGUUUAUAUUGAUGCAAGAAAAUCAAUACAAGCAAUCCUGAUCGUGGGUGUUCCCACUGCUGCACCAGUUUAAGCUACUUCACUUUUGAAGCUGUGCAUCCACACUGCACAGGGUGGCAUUGAUUGAAGUGCCUGGAACUCUGGGUAGAUGUCCCAAGCUAUGUUUCGAGGCUUUCAGCAUUCUGUGUCAUUUUCAUGGUUGAUUGUGGGACACCACCUGGAUGUCAGAGGAAUUAGUAGGAAUAAGGAUCCAACUCCCAUGAUCCUGCCUGCUGUAUCCCAGGAUUCACUUAGUGCCCUUCUGCCCUGGCCAUUUCAAUAUUACUCUUCCAGAACUGCUAACAUGGAAGAAUCCCAGACGAAUGUUGCACUCCUUUUAUUGAGAUGAAGAGGAUGAGCCUCUUGUCCUGGAGAGCAUGCAGUGAGGCAUCCACCACGCCCAUUGCUGGUGCCAUGGGUGUUCAAGGCGGGCAGUGUACAGGAGAUUAUUGAGGGAUUUUCAUGUUUAGAGUUUAGAUUUGUAUUGAUGGAACCCAUGUGCCUAUUAACUAUCUCCUCCCCACCACACAUACCCUGGUUGUUCGUCAAUAGGAAAGGCUGUUUCUGCCUGGUACUGUGGACUUUGGUGGAUCACCAAGGUGGGUUCACCAACAUUAAUGUGGGGUGGUCUGGAAAAGCCUAUGGUGCUCAGAUGCUCAGAAGUUCAUCUCUGUUUUUAGGCAGAAUGUUUUCCCUCAGCUGUACAAUGGAUACAGAAGGAGUGAAUUGAAAAAUAUGAUUCUGGGAGGUCCAGCUUACUCUGUGCCUCCCUGGCUUAUGAGGCCUUCAACUGGAAUUUGGACAAGAGAAAGGAACUUUUUAAUUUUACCCUCGGGUGUCUGGGAAGUGGACAUUUGGAAAACUGAAUGGCAACUGGAGGUUUCUCAUGAUACAGCUGAGCUCAUAAGAUUCUUCCCAGCCCAAGUGAAAAGCAUUUUAGGCUUCCAUUGAAGCAGGAGCCAAUGGCUUUAGAAGUGAAAGGACAUCUCCCAGAGAUUCAGCGUGGACAGGAAGAGUUGCUCUCAGAUUGUGAUGGGGUAAACAAACCCCACACUGGGCCCAAAGGAGUGAGAAGGCAAUACUGGAUCCAGACAGCCCUGCUCCUCUGAGUCUGCUGAGCAUGUUUCAACAGGAGCAGCAGGAUAAAUGGAGAUCAGUAGCCCAGACAAAGAGGAGUAGACAGACUACAGGAGAGCAGAAUCCUUCUCCGGAAAGCUAGGCAGAAGGUUGAGCCUAAGAGGUGACCACAGAAUGGGUAAAACCCAUAGUCAGUGCCUUCACUUGCCAUCACCCUCUUUGAAAACCAGCAAGUCCUGCAGGGCCUUGCUCCUUUGGACUCUUUAUUCGGUUGAGCCACCAACUGUUUGGACCAUGCCCCAAAGUGUAGGGACCUACUGGUAGGGAGUAGCCCAGGGAAGUGAAUUUAGACUUGUUGCAGGGACAAACUUGGCAGUGUUGCUUCCCACAGCACUCUGGGAAGGACCCAAUGUAGAGGGAGGGCCUAGGUCCCCCUACCACACCCUGCGUAAGGGCCAAGGCCCAGAUGAAGGUGGAAAGCCAAAGACUCCCAGCUUAUGAUCAGGAAAGGUACCUCUACCGCCCUGACAGAGAGGCAAGCAGUCAGAAGUGAGGUGCUCUCACCACUAGGCUGCCCAGCCCUUUGAGCCCCCUAUCACACAGAUCAUUUAUGAAUAUGUUGAACAGCAAAGGUUCCACUACAGAUCUUUGGGGGACCCAUCUAUUUAACUCUCUCCACUGAGAAAACUGACCAUAUAUUCUUACCUUAUGCCUGUCUUUUAACAAGUUACUGAUCUAUGACAGAACCUUCCCUCCUAUCCCAUGACUGCUUAUUUUGCUUAAGAGCCUUUGGUGUGAGACCUUGUCAAGGCUUUCUGAAAAUCCAAGUACAUUAUAGUCACUGGAUAACCUUUGUCCACAUGAUUGUUGACACCAUCAAAGAAGUCUAAUAGAUUGGUGAGGCAUGAAAUCCCUUUAUAAAAGUUGUGUAGUCUCUUCCUCAGUAUAUUGUGUUCAUUUAUGUGUCUGAUAAUUCUGUUUUUCACUAUAGACUCAAGCAAUUUGCCUGGUACUGAAGUUAGGUUUACCGACUGUAAUUGCCAGGAUCGCCUCUGGAGCCCUUUUUAAAA
Long non-coding RNA from Chrysemys picta bellii (western painted turtle), 2348 nucleotides. RefSeq lists it as uncharacterized. NCBI's taxonomy places the organism in Eukaryota, Metazoa, Chordata, Testudines, Emydidae. The record is from RefSeq and is a predicted model, not a curated record.